GUGCUCGCUUCGGCAGCACAUAUACUAAGAAUU
RNAcentral lists this small nuclear RNA (33 nucleotides) under Felis catus (domestic cat). Lineage: Eukaryota; Metazoa; Chordata; Mammalia; Carnivora; Felidae. The record is from RNAcentral.